AGCUUAGGCGAAAAGUACUUCUACCCGAAAAUAUGAGUUGGAUCCCCCUAAGAGAAAAGGCUCUACCCGGGUUAAGCUACAUAAAACAUCCUGAGCAAAAAGUACUUCUACCCGGAACUAUGAGCUGGAUCCCCCUAGGUGAAAAUGUUCUACCUGGGUUAAGCUACGAAAGACAGCCUGGGCAAAAAGUACUUCUACCCGGAACUAUGAGCUAGAUCCCCCUAGGCGAAAAAGUUCUAUCUGGGUUAAGCUACAAAAACCAAUCCUGGGCGAAUAGUAUUUCUACCCGAAAACUAUGAGCUGGAUCCCCCUGGGCGAAAAGGUUCUACCUGGGUUAAGCUACGAAAAAUAAUCCUGGGCGAAUAGUACUUCUACCCGGAAACUAUGAGCCGGAUCCCCCUAGGCGAAAAUGUUCUACCUAGGUUAAGCUACGAAAAAUAACCUGGGCGAAGAGUACUUCUACCCGGAACCGUGAGCUGGAUCCCCCUAGGCGAAAAGGUUCUACAUGGGUUAAGCUACGAAAAACAACCUGAGCGAAGAGUACUUCUACCCGGCACUAUAAAUUGGAUCCCCCUAGACGAAAAUAUUCUACGUGGGUUAAGCUACGUAAAACAACCUGGGAGAAAAGUACUUCUACCCGGAAAUAUUAGCUGGAUUCCCCUAGGCAAAAAGGUUCUACCUAAGUUAAGCUACGAAAAGCAACCUGAGCGAAUAGUACUUCUACCCGGAACUAUGAGCUGGAUCCCCCUAGGCAAAAAAGUUCUAUCUGAGUUAAGCUACGUAAAACAGCCUGGGCGACAAGUACUUCUACCCGGAAAUAUUAGCUGGAUCCCCUUAGGCAAAAAUGUUCUACCUGGGUUAAGCAACAAAA
Molecule: long non-coding RNA, 871 nt
Filed under: Nicotiana tabacum (common tobacco)
Lineage: Eukaryota; Viridiplantae; Streptophyta; Magnoliopsida; Solanales; Solanaceae
Description: long non-coding RNA (NTAB_LNC005985)
Source: RNAcentral